RNAcentral lists this ribosomal RNA (216 nucleotides) under Glomeromycotina sp. RNAcentral describes it as "partial small subunit ribosomal RNA". The stretch from base 40 to 216 matches the Rfam family "Eukaryotic small subunit ribosomal RNA", at positions 686 to 864 of the family's 1831-position model. The record is from RNAcentral. Lineage: Eukaryota; Fungi; Glomeromycota.
GGGUCAGGAGGUUGGUCGUGCCACCGGUACGUACUGGUCUCACUGAUUCCUCCUUCCUGAAGAACCGUAAUGCCAUUAAUUUGGUGUUGCGGGGAAACAGGACUGUUACUUUGAAAAAAUUAGAGUGUUUAAAGCAAGCUAACGCUUGAAUACAUUAGCAUGGAGUAAUGAAAUAGGACGAUCGAUCCUAUUUUGUUGGUUUCUAGGAUUGACGUA